UGAGAUUUGGGUGUUGGUUCAACUUAAAAGUUUGGCAUUUGUUGAACUUGAGUUUGUGUGUUUGUUGAACUUAAGUUUGUGUCUUGUUUGAACUUGAGUUUGUGGCGUUUUUGAACUUUAGGUUGUUGCAAUUGUGAAACUUGAGAUUUGGGUGUUGGUUGAACUUAAAAUUUUGACAUUUGUUGAACUUGAGUUUAUGGUGUUUGUUGAACUUUUGUUUGCGUCGUGUUUGAACUUGAGUUUAUGGUGUUUUUGAACUUGAGGUUGUGGUGUUUUUGAACUUGAGUUUGUGGCGUGUUUGAACUUGAGGUUGUUGCAAUUGUUAAAUUGAGAUUUUGGUGUUGGUUGAACUUAAAACUUUGACAUUUGUUGAACUUGAGUUUGAGCUGUUUGUUUAACUUUAGUUUGUGUCGUUUUUGAACUUGAGUUUGUUGUGUUUUUGAACUUGAGUUUUUGGAAAUUGUUAAACUUGAGAAUCGGGUGUUGGUUCAACUUGGGUUUCUGUUGUUUUUGAACUUGAGGUUAUGGAAAUUGUUAAACUUGAGAAUCAGGUGUUGGUUGAACUUGAGUUUGUGUGUUUGUUGAACUUGAGUUUGUGUCGUGUUUGAACUUGAGUUUGUGGUAUUUUUGAACUAGAGUUUGUGUGUUUGUUGAUCUUGAGGUUAUGGAAAUUGUUAAACCCAAAAAUUGGGUAUUGGUUGAACUUGAGUUUGUGUUGUUUUUGAACUUGAGUUUGUGUAGUGUUUGAACUUGAGUUUGUGGUGUUUUUUGAGCUUGAGGUUGUGGUGUUUUUGAGCUUGAGUUUGUGGUGUGUUUGAACUUGAGGUUGUGGAAAAACGUAAACUUGAGAUUUGGGUGUUGAUUGAACUUGAGUUUGUUUCGUGUUUGAUCUUGAGGUUGUGGUGUUUUUGAACUUGAGGUUUCUUGUUUGUUUAACUUGAGUUUGUGUGUUUGUUGAACUUGAGUUUGUGUUAUGUUUGAACUUGAGUUUGUGUCGUGUAUGAACUUGAGUUUGUGUCGUGUUUUUGAACUUGAGUUUUUGGUGUUUUUGAACUUGAGGGUGUGGAAUUUGUUAAACUUGAGAAUUGGGUAUUGGUUGAAUUUGAGUUUGUGUGUUUGUUGAACUUGAGUUUGUGUCAUGUUUGAACUUGAGUUUGUGGUGUUUUUGAACUUGAGUUUGUGUGUUUGUUGAACUUGAGUUGUGGCGUUUGUUGAACUCUAGGUUGUGGCAAUUGUUAAACUUGAGAUUUGGUUGUUGGUUGAACUUGAGUUUGUGUCGUGUUUGAACUUGAGUUCGUGUUGUUUGUUGAACUUGAAUUUGUGUGUUUUUUUAACUUAAAUUUUUUUAAGUUGAGUUUGUGGCAAUUGUUGAACUUGAGUCUGUGGUUUUUGGUGAACUUUAAUUGGUGGCAAUUGUUGAACUUGAGUUUGUGGUGUUUUUGAACUUGAGUUUGUUUCGUGUUUGCACUUUGUUUGUGGUGUUUUUGAACUUGAGUUUGUGGUGUUUUUGAACUUGAGUUUGUGGCGGUUGUUGAACUCUAGGUUGUGGCAAUUGUUGAACUUGAGAUUUGGGUGUUGGUUCAACUUAAAAGUUUGGCAUUUGUUAAACUUGAGUUUGUGUGUUUGUUGAACUUAAGUUUGUGUCUUGUUUGAACUUGAGUUUGUGGUGUUUUCAAACUUGAGUUUGUGUGUUUUUCGAACUAUAGUUUUUGGUGUCUUUGAACUUGAGUUAAUGGUGUUUUUGAACUUGAGUUUGAAUCGUGGUUGAACUCGAGUUUGUGGUGUUUUUGAACUUGAGUUUGUGGUGUUUUUGAACUUGAGGUGUUGGAAAUUGUGAAACUUGAGAAUUGGGCAUUGGUUGAACUUGAGUUUGUGUGUUUGUUGAACAAGAGAUUGUGUUGUGUUUUAACUUCAGUUUGUGGUGUUUUUUGAACUUGAGGUUGUGGUGUUUUUGAACUUGAGUUUGUGGUGUUUUGUACUUGAGUUUGUGUUAUUUUUCAACUUGAGGUUGUGGAACUUGUUAAACAUGAGAAUCAGGUGUUGAUUGAACUUGAGUAUUUGUUUUUUUUAACUUGAGUUUGUGUCGUGUUUGAGCUCGAGUUUGUGGUGGUUUUUGAAUUUGAGUUUGCGUGUUUGUUAAACUUGAGUUUGUGUUUUUUUUUUACUUGAGUUUGUUGUUUCUGAACUUGAGUUUGUGGCAAUUGUUGAACUUGAGUUUGACAUUUGUUGAACUUGGGUUUGUGGUUUUUGUUGAACUUGAGUUUGUGGUGUUUUUGAACUUGAGGUUGUGGAAUUUGUUAAACUUGAGAAUUGGGUAUUGGUUGAAAUUGAGUUUGUGUGUUUGUUGAACUUGAGUUUGUGUCGUGUUUGAACUUGAGUUUGUGGUGUUUUUGAACUUGAGGUUGUUAGAAAUUGUUAAACUUGAAAAUUUGGUAUUGGUUGAACUUGAGUUUGUGUGUUUGUUGAACUUGAGUUUGUGUCAUGUUUGAACUUCGGUUUGUGGUGUUUUUUGAGCUUGAGGUUGUGGUGUUUUUGAACUUGAGUUUGUGUUGCUUUUGAACUUUAGGUUGUGGCAAUUUCUAAAAUUGAGAUUUGGGUGUUGGUUGAACUUAAAAGUUUGUCAUUUGUUGAACUUGAGUCUGUUGUUUUUAGUGAACUUUUGUUGGUUGCAGUUGUUGAACUUGAGUUUAUGGCAUUUGUUGAACUUUGUUUGUGUCGUGUUUGAACUUCAGUUUGUGGUGUUUUUUGAACUUGAGGUUGUGGUUUUUUUGAACUUGAGUUUGUGGCGCUUUUUGAACUUGAGGUUGUGGCAAUUGUUGAACUUGAGUUUGUGACGUGUUUGAACUUGAUUUUGUGGUGUUUUUGAACUUGAGUUUGUGGUGUUUUUGAACUUGAGUUUGUGGUGUUUGUGGAAUUUGAGUUUGUGUCGUGUUUGAACUUGAGGUUGUGGUGUUUUUGAACUCGAGUUUUUGUGUUUGUUGAACUUGAGUUUGUGUCGUGUUUGAACUUGAGUUUGUGGUGUUUUUUGAACUUGUGGUUGUGGUGUUUUUGAACUUGAGUUUGUGGCGGUUUUUGAACUUGAGGUUGUUGCAAUUGUUAAACUUGAGAUUUGGGUGUUGGUUGAACUUAAAACUUUGCCAUUUGUUGAACUUGAGUUUGUGGUGUAUGUUGAACUCCAGCUUGUUUUGUGUUUGAACUUGAGGUUGUGGUAUUUUUGAAUUGAGUUUGUGGCGGUUUUUGAACUUGAGUUUAUGGCGUGUUUGAACUUGAGAUUGUGGCGUGUUUGAACUUGAGUUUGUGGUGGUUUUUGAACUUGAGGUUGUGAAAAUUGUUAAAACUUGAGAAUCAGGUGUUGGUUGAACUUGAGUUUGUGGUUUUUGUUGAACUUGAUUUUGUGCUUUGUUUGAACUUUAGUUCAUGGUUUUUUUUGUACUUGAGUUUGUGUUGUUUUUGAACUUGAGGUUGUGGAAAUUGUAAAAACUUGAAAAUCAGGUGUUGGUUGAACUUGAGUUUGUGGUUUUUGUUGAACUUGAGUUUGUGUCGUUUUUGAGCUUGAGGUUGUGGUGUUUUUGAACUUGAGUUUGCGUGUUUGUUGAACUUGAGUUUGUGUGUUUUUUUAACUUGAGUUUGUUGUUUCUGAAUUUGAGGUUGUGGCAAUUGUUGAACUUGAGUCUGUUGUUUUUAGUGAACUUUAGUUGGUGGCAAUUGUUGAACUUGAGUUUUUGGCAUUUCUUGAACUUCAGUUUGUGACGUGUUUAAACAUGAUUUAAUGAUGUUUUUGAACUCGAGUUUGUGGUGUUUUUGAACUUGAGGUUGUGGAAAUUGUUAAACUUGAGAAUUGGGUGUUGAUUGAACUUGAGUUUGUUUCGUGUUUGAUCUUGAGGUUGUGGUGUUUUUGAACUUGAGGUUUCUUGUUUGUUUAACUUGAGUUUGUGUGUUUUUUGAACUUGAGUUUGUUGUUUCUGAACUUGAGGUUUUGGCAAUUGAUGAAAUUGAGUCUGUGGUUUUUAGUGAACUUUUGUUGGUUGCAGUUGUUGAACUUGAGUUUAUGGCGUUUGUUGAACUUGAGUUUGUGACGUGUUUGAACUUGAGUUUGUGUUUUUGAACUUGAGGUUGUGGCAAUUUCUAAAAUUGAGAUUUGGGUGUUGGUUGAACUUAAAAGUUUGACAUUUGUUGAACUUCAGUUUGUGGUUUUUGUUGAACUUGAGUUUGUGUCGUGUUUGAUCUUGAGGUUGUGGUGUUUUGAACUCGAGUUUUUGUGUUUGUUGAACUUGAUGUUGUGGUGUUUUUUGAACUUCAGUUUGUGGAAAUUUUUAAACUUGAGGGUUGGGUGGUGGUUGAACUUGAGUUUGUGGUGUUUUUUGAACUUGAGGUUGUGGUGUUUUUGACUUGAGUUCGUGGCAUGUUUGAACUCGAGGUUGUUGCAAUUGUUAAACUUGAGAUUUGGGUGUUGGUUGAACUUAAAACUUUGCCAUUUGUUGAACUUGAGUUUGUGGUGUUUGUUGAACUCCAGCUUGUGUUGUGUUUGAACUUGGGGUGGGGUAUUUUUGAACUUGAGUUUGUGUGUUUUUUGAACUUGAGUUUGUGGCGUGUUUGAACUUGAGAUUGUGGCGUGUUUGAACUUGAGUUUGUGGUGGUUUUUGAACUUGAGGUUGUGAAAAUUGUUAAAACUUGAGAAUCAGGUGUUGGUUGAACUUGAGUUUGGGUAUUGGUUGAACUUGAUUUUGUGCUUUGUUUGAACUUUAGUUUAUGGUUUUUUUUGUACUUGAGUUUGUGUUGUUUUUAAACUUGAGGUUGUGAAAAUUGUAAAAACUUGAAAAUCAGGUGUUUUUGAACUUGAGUUUGUGGUGUUUUUGAACUUGAGGUGUUGGAAAUUGUGAAACUUGAGAAUUGGGCAUUGGUUGAACUUCAGUUUGUGGUGUUUUUUGAACUUGAGGUUGUGGUGUUUUUGAACUUGAGUUUGUGGUGUUUUGUACUUGAGUUUGUGUUAUUUUUCAACUUGAGGUUGUGGAACUUGUUAAACAUGAGAAUCAGGUGUUGAUUGAACUUGAGUAUUUGUUUUUUUUAACUUGAGUUUGUGUCGUGUUUGAGCUCGAGUUUGUGGUGGUUUUUGAAUUUGAGUUUGCGUGUUUGUUAAACUUGAGUUUGUGUUUUUUUUUUACUUGAGUUUGUUGUUUCUGAACUUGAGUUUGUGGCAAUUGUUGAACUUGAGUUUGACAUUUGUUGAACUUGGGUUUGUGGUUUUUGUUGAACUUGAGUUUGUGGUGUUUUUGAACUUGAGGUUGUGGAAUUUGUUAAACUUGAGAAUUGGGUAUUGGUUGAAAUUGAGUUUGUGUGUUUGUUGAACUUGAGUUUGUGUCGUGUUUGAACUUGAGUUUGUGGUGUUUUUGAACUUGAGGUUGUUAGAAAUUGUUAAACUUGAAAAUUUGGUAUUGGUUGAACUUGAGUUUGUGUGUUUGUUGAACUUGAGUUUGUGUCAUGUUUGAACUUCGGUUUGUGGUGUUUUUUGAGCUUGAGGUUGUGGUGUUUUUGAACUUGAGUUUGUGUUGCUUUUGAACUUUAGGUUGUGGCAAUUUCUAAAAUUGAGAUUUGGGUGUUGGUUGAACUUAAAAGUUUGUCAUUUGUUGAACUUGAGUCUGUUGUUUUUAGUGAACUUUCGUUGGUGGCAAUUGUUGAACUUGAGUUUGUGGCAUUUGUUAAACUUUGUUUGUGUCGUGUUUGAACUUCAGUUUGUGGUGUUUUUUGAACUUGAGGUUGUGGUUUUUUUGAACUUGAGUUUGUGGCGCUUUUUGAACUUGAGGUUGUGGCAAUUGUUGAACUUGAGUUUGUGACGUGUUUGAACUUGAUUUUGUGGUGUUUUUGAACUUGAGUUUGUGGUGUUUUUGAACUUGAGUUUGUGGUGUUUGUGGAAUUUGAGUUUGUGUCGUGUUUGAACUUGAGGUUGUGGUGUUUUUGAACUCGAGUUUUUGUGUAUGUUGAACUUGAGUUUGUGUCGUGUUUGAACUUGAGUUUGUGGUGUUUUUUGAACUUGAGGUUGUGGUGUUUUUGAACUUGAGUUUGUGGCGGUUUUUGAACUUGAGGUUGUUGCAAUUGUUAAACUUGAGAUUUGGGUGUUGGUUGAACUUAAAACUUUGCCAUUUGUUGAACUUGAGUUUGUGGUGUAUGUUGAACUCCAGCUUGUUUUGUGUUUGAACUUGAGGUUGUGGUAUUUUUGAAUUGAGUUUGUGGCGGUUUUUGAACUUGAGUUUAUGGCGUGUUUGAACUUGAGAUUGUGGCGUGUUUGAACUUGAGUUUGUGGUGGUUUUUGAACUUGAGGUUGUGAAAAUUGUUAAAACUUGAGAAUCAGGUGUUGGUUGAACUUGAGUUUGUGGUUUUUGUUGAACUUGAUUUUGUGCUUUGUUUGAACUUUAGUUCAUGGUUUUUUUUGUACUUGAGUUUGUGUUGUUUUUGAACUUGAGGUUGUGGAAAUUGUAAAAACUUGAAAAUCAGGUGUUGGUUGAACUUGAGUUUGUGGUUUUUGUUGAACUUGAGUUUGUGUCGUUUUUGAGCUUGAGGUUGUGGUGUUUUUGAACUUGAGUUUGCGUGUUUGUUGAACUUGAGUUUGUGUGUUUUUUUAACUUGAGUUUGUUGUUUCUGAAUUUGAGGUUGUGGCAAUUGUUGAACUUGAGUCUGUUGUUUUUAGUGAACUUUAGUUGGUGGCAAUUGUUGAACUUGAGUUUUUGGCAUUUCUUGAACUUCAGUUUGUGACGUGUUUAAACAUGAUUUAAUGAUGUUUUUGAACUCGAGUUUGUGGUGUUUUUGAACUUGAGGUUGUGGAAAUUGUUAAACUUGAGAAUUGGGUGUUGAUUGAACUUGAGUUUGUUUCGUGUUUGAUCUUGAGGUUGUGGUGUUUUUGAACUUGAGGUUGCUUGUUUGUUUAACUUGAGUUUGUGUGUUUUUUGAACUUGAGUUUGUUGUUUCUGAACUUGAGGUUGUGGCAAUUUCUAAAAUUGAGAUUUGGGUGUUGGUUGAACUUAAAAGUUUGACAUUUGUUGAACUUCAGUUUGUGGUUUUUGUUGAACUUGAGUUUGUGUCGUGUUUGAUCUUGAGGUUGUGGUGUUUUUUGAACUUCAGUUUGUGGAAAUUUUUAAACUUGAGGGUUGGGUGGUGGUUGAACUUGAGUUUAUGGCGUUUGUUGAACUUGAGUUUGUGACGUGUUUGAACUUGAGUUUGUGUUUUUGAACUUGAGGUUGUGGCAAUUUCUAAAAUUGAGAUUUGGGUGUUGGUUGAACUUAAAAGUUUGACAUUUGUUGAACUUCAGUUUGUGGUUUUUGUUGAACUUGAGUUUGUGUCGUGUUUGAUCUUGAGGUUGUGGUGUUUUGAACUCGAGUUUUUGUGUUUGUUGAACUUGAUGUUGUGGUGUUUUUUGAACUUCAGUUUGUGGAAAUUUUUAAACUUGAGGGUUGGGUGGUGGUUGAACUUGAGUUUGUGGUGUUUUUUGAACUUGAGGUUGUGGUGUUUUUGACUUGAGUUCGUGGCAUGUUUGAACUCGAGGUUGUUGCAAUUGUUAAACUUGAGAUUUGGGUGUUGGUUGAACUUAAAACUUUGCCAUUUGUUGAACUUGAGUUUGUGGUGUUUGUUGAACUCCAGCUUGUGUUGUGUUUGAACUUGAGGUUGUGGUAUUUUUGAACUUGAGUUUGUGUGUUUUUUGAACUUGAGUUUGUGGCGUGUUUGAACUUGAGAUUGUGGCGUGUUUGAACUUGAGUUUGUGGUGGUUUUUGAACUUGAGGUUGUGAAAAUUGUUAAAACUUGAGAAUCAGGUGUUGGUUGAACUUGAGUUUGGGUAUUGGUUGAACUUGAUUUUGUGCUUUGUUUGAACUUUAGUUUAUGGUUUUUUUUGUACUUGAGUUUGUGUUGUUUUUAAACUUGAGGUUGUGGAAAUUGUAAAAACUUGAGAAUCAGGUGUUGGUUGAACUUGAGUUUGUGGUUUUUGUUGAACUUGAGUUUGUGUCGUUUUUGAGCUUGAGGUUGUGGUGUUUUUGAACUUGAGUUUGCGUGUUUGUUGAACUUCAGUUUGUGUGUUUUUUUAACUUGAGUUUGUUGUUUCUGAAUUUGAGGUUGUGGCAAUUGUUGAACUUGAGUCUGUUGUUUUUAGUGAACUUUAGUUGGUGGCAAUUGUUGAACUUGAGUUUUUGGCAUUUGUUGAACUUGAGUUUGUGACGUGUUUAAACAUGAUUUUGUGGUGUUUUUGAACUCGAGUUUGUGGUGUUUUUGAACUUGAGGUUGUGGAAAUUGUUAAACUUGAGAAUUGGGUAUUGGUUGAACUUGAGUUUGUGUGUUUGUUUAACUUGAGUUUGUGUCGUGUUUGGACUUCAGUUUGUGGUGUUUUUUGGUCUUGAGGUUGUGGUGUUUUUGAACUUGAGUUUGUGGCGGUUUUUGAACUUGAGGUUGUGGCAAUUGUUGAACUUGAGUUUGUGACAUGUUUGAACUUGAUUUUGUGGUGUUUUUGAACUCGAGUUUGUGGUGUUUUUGAACUUGAGUUUGUGGUGUUUGUUGAACUUGAGUCUGUUGUUUUUAGUGAACUUUAGUUGGUGGCAAUUGUUGAACUUGAGUUUUUGGCAUUUGUUGAACUUGAGUUUGUGACGUGUUUAAACAUGAUUUUGUGGUGUUUUUGAACUCGAGUUUGUGGCAAUUGUUGAACUUGAGGUUGUGGAAAUUGUUAAACUUGAGAAUUGGGUAUUGGUUGAACUUGAGUUUGUGUGUUUGUUGAUAUUGAGUUUGUGUAGUCUUUGAACUUGAGGUUGUGGUGUUUCUUAACUUGAGUUUGUGUGUUUGUUGAACUUGAGUUUGUGUUUUUUUAACUUGAGGUUGUGGAAAUUGUUAAACUUGAGAAUUGGGUAUUGGUUCAACUUGAGUUUGUGGUUUUUGGUGAACUUGAGUUUGUGUCGUGUUUUAACUUCAGUUUGUGGUGUUUUUGAACUUGAGUUUAUGGUGUUUUCUAACUUGAGGUUGUGGAAAUAUUUAAACUUGAGAAUUGGGUAUUGGAGAGGUGAAGUCUGACAUGCCGUGUGUAGAUUUAACUGGUGUUAAGUUAACUGGUGACACUCCAAGCAGAUGUUCAAGAAGCAUGGCUUUUGAGGGCCUUUGUUUACAUUCCAUCUAUCACUCACCGUCUAACUACACACUCGUACCGAUGUAUCAAAUUAAAGGGCCUUUUGAGACAUACAUGUUAGGGAGAAUGAGUUUAUUGGGUCAAAGAUGAAGAUGCAAGCACGAAACAUGAGAAGAAUGAAAUUGGUGAUUGUGCAAAUGCCUGUUCAAAAUAUCGCCGACACCGAGUGAGAAAUUUAACAAACUUUUUCAUUGUGAGAGGAACUUAUUUCACGGUAUUUUUAUGAUCAUUAGGUGCGUGGGUAGUACUCACAGUACCACAGGUGGUGUGAAAAUGUUUGUGGGAUGCAUUUAAAUACAGCGCGAGGUCAGGUGUACUCUCCAUGUUACCUGUGUUAUCUCGUGACAGCCUAUACACCUUGCUUGUUGGUUUUAUUUAAUGUGUCUGUAGAUGUCUCCACAAUUAUGAGCCACGCUUUAAAGAAGUAGAAACGAAAUGCUUGGUGUUAACAGAGAUAUAUUACAAAUAUUUCCUCCUUUAAUGUGGAAAAGCGUCCGCUGUCACCACUCGUACUGAUCCCAGUCAACGUGAAUGAAAUCAAACCGCAGAUCGCGGCUAUCCGUUAUAGCAGACUUUAUACCCCUCAUUGUUUUCAUCACUGAUCGAUGGAUUUGGGAUAUUUUGCAAAUAAAGGGCCAUGAACACAGUGAGAAACAGACAAAAUGGUCAUAGAGAUCCUUUAAAAAUACAUGGCACAGAGACAGAAUCACUGCAGUCUCUGUCCAUGUUAACCUGUGACUGUACCUGUGGUCCUUUUACUCACUCACCUAUAGCAUGGAGACGUGGACUCUCCAUAUUUUAUCUGCAGUGGACUAAGAAUAUUCUAAUUUCUAAGUCAUCUGCAGGCUUCUGUUGCACAAUGUAUUCAAGUAUCUCAAUAAAUGAGAAUAUGUUUAUUCUUAUUUGUUGAGGAGCACCUCUACUGUAUGCUGUUAGCUUGCUUCUGUGCAGCUCACAGCUAGAACACUGCAGCAGCAUGCCUUGAUGUUGAAUUUUGUGUAUGUUGUUGCAAAGUUUUUUUUAGGGGUACAGUAUCUGUAGAGGCAAACCUCAGGCUGUGUCCGAAAUGGCAUACUGCCUACUGUCUACUUAACUACUCAAGCAGUACAUACUGCAUACUGCAUACUCAAAGAUGAUUUGAGUAUGCCGCAGCUGACCGAGCGUUUACACACAUGCAUACUUAAUACCCCAGAAUGCAUUUCGUGCCAGCCAGAAGCAGCGCCGGGAAAAUUUAAAUAGUCCUACCGCAAGCUUCAAAAACGACUGCAUUUCGGACAAACUGUAUAAAUUCAGUCAGUCAAAACAUUUUUUCAAGCGAGAAAGUAAGUGUUUACAUCACGAGCCCAGUUGAGCCCAGUUGUUUGAAAUAGCGGCUGUUUGCAAAUUUGUCUCUGCGUUUUCGGAGACCGAAGCAUCCGCCUGAUGGGUGUUUGCGUCAGGGCCGGAUUAUGGGGGGUCUGGGCCCCGGGGCCGGGAGUUUGCAAAGCACCCCCCACCCCCCCCACCCCUUCCUUCUUGCAAAGUCGUCCACUAACUCAUCAAAGUUGAGCUGUCGAACAAACUCUGAUUCUAUUGCAAGAAGGGAGAGUGAAUUCAACCCAUUUUGGCACAUUCUCAUCCUGAGCUCAUUUUUUAUUCGAGCCAGUCUGGAGAAUGACCGUUACCCUUCACAGUUUGUUAUUGGCAGGGUCAAAAACAGUCUGAGUGCUAUGUAAACUUUUUGGAAAGCAUUUUUGUUCUUCUGAAAUGAAUGAUUUGUACUGAACAAGUUCAUCUGCCAAGCUCAUGGUCAGAUCAGUGGGAUAUGCUGCAGCAAGAGAUUCUGCCCUUAAAGUGAGCUCACUGUUGGACAUAUUAUCAGGCAUGAAAAGAACAUGAAAAGGAUUGGUCAAGUGUGUGUAUCAAGUUAACCGAUGGUUAAGACAGGACACAAGUUUGUCAAAUAGAACACUGAACGUUUCAAUCUGAAAUUGUUCUUUUCCACUAAAUUCAACACCUGGUUCUGCACUUUCAUCAGCCAUACAUUUGCGCUUCUUUGUGCGCUGGAGGUCAUGUCUGUAGUCUUGGGAGACUGAGUCGGUAACAGUUAAAGCUGACCCUUCAAAAAAGGCAAAAUUGUCUCUCUGUGCUGCCACAAAGUCAUAAAGUGAAAGGAGAAGCUGCGUAGCUGUGUGUAUGUCAAUGUCAUGUUUCUGCAACUGCAGGCUCGUGGCUCGGAACUGCUGUACUAUUGGAUCCCAAAAGUGUGCCAUGAAAGCUAUCUCUAGGGUGUCCAGCUUGCCACAGAGUGCAGAGGCCUCGCUUCUAGUUUCACGUUUCUCCUGUGAGUCAUUGGAAAUAUUGUUCAAUGCCUCUCUCAAUUGUGUAAUAAUAUAUAAUAUAUAAUGCAUAAUAAUGCAUUUCUCAAUUAUUUGAACAAAAACUUAUUCAAACCUUUCUGAUACUUAAAAAAUUUCUAAUACUUGAGGAUUUUUAAUUAUCAAACUUUUCCCUGUUUAAAAUAGUUUUAGUAUUUAUGCAUUAUUCACCCCUUAAACAAAAUCCCACUUCUUCUACUACAACUCCUGCUAAUAUCAAUUAAACCAGUACUUUGACUUCUAUUUCAACUACUAUUGCUACUAUUUCUACUUUCUCUACUGCUAUUUCUACCACUAGCUCUACUACUUUGACUUCUCCUAUUCUCCAACUAUUUCUACUGCUUACAUGACUACUAAUAUCACUACAGGACUACUAAUAUCACUACUAUGACUACUUAUCAUGCUACCACUAGAACAACAAAUAAAACUUAUGCCACCUCUCACCUUCCUGCCUUUUAAGGUAAUUUACUUCUUCAUUCAAACUUUGUGCAAUUUCAGUCAUUUUUCUGGCCUCUUUCAGCAUGAAUAAAAUUUCAAUUCAUGGAGCAUAUUCAUACUGUUUGUCCUUCAACCAUUUUCAUAAUUAUUUAACUUAUAUUUCUUUUUCACUGGCCUCUUUCAGCAUGAACAAAAUUUCAAUUCAUGGAGCAUAUUCAUACUGUUUGUCCUUCAACCAUUUUCACAAUUAUUCAACUUAUACUUCUUUUUCACCCCUUCAACAGCUUUUACAUUAAUAUCUUUCUCAGUGUUCUAUUAGCAGUUUAGCAUUGCUUUUUCAGGUUUCAGCACUCAGCAUUUCCACGCAUUUUCUGCAAGGAAAUGCAUUUUUUCUCGUUCCACUUAGACUUCCAGAUUUGUUACAAUAGCCCUUACAAUGGCUUUAAGUCUAGUUAAGGUACACUAUUAUUACAAUACAAUACAAUGUAAAUGUCAAUGAGCUUUUUAAUAGGGUGUUGGAUGCUAAAUCUGAUAGUCUAGGAAAGGUUUUAAUGUAAGAAUGUUGUUAGGAGUUUUGAUAAAUGGAUUUAACAAUAUUGGAUUUUCAAUUAAACUAUCAAAAUUUCUGCCAUGUGAGGAGUUUUGAUAAAAGCAAUGCCAAGUGUAAUGUGGGAGUGUUGUAUUGAUAUUGGAUUUUCACUUGGACUUCACUUGGUUGGCAUUGGUGUUUACAGUACACCCCUUUACGGUGGGAACAUAAGGAAGCGAAAUCUGCAAAGUGAAGCGGGGCGAAACUCAGUGUUCUGAAGGUGAAUAUCUACCAGUCUACUACUCUC
This is a non-coding RNA of Xyrichtys novacula (pearly razorfish), 12782 nucleotides long. The record is from the annotation of a GenBank genome assembly. NCBI's taxonomy places the organism in Eukaryota, Metazoa, Chordata, Actinopteri, Labriformes, Labridae.